AUUGAACGCUGGCGGCAGGCCUAACACAUGCAAGUCGAGCGGAUGAAGGGAGCUUGCUCCUGGAUUCAGCGGCGGGCGGGUGAGUAAUGCCUAGGAAUCUGCCUGGUAGUGGGGGAUAACGUCCGGAAACGGGCGCUAAUACCGCAUACGUCCUGAGGGAGAAAGUGGGGGAUCUUCGGACCUCACGCUAUCAGAUGAGCCUAGGUCGGAUUAGCUAGUUGGUGGGGUAAAGGCCUACCAAGGCGACGAUCCGUAACUGGUCUGAGAGGAUGAUCAGUCACACUGGAACUGAGACACGGUCCAGACUCCUACGGGAGGCAGCAGUGGGGAAUAUUGGACAAUGGGCGAAAGCCUGAUCCAGCCAUGCCGCGUGUGCGAAGAAGGUCUUCGGAUUGUAAAGCACUUUAAGUUGGGAGGAAGGGCAGUAAGUUAAUACCUUGCUGUUUUGACGUUACCAACAGAAUAAGCACCGGCUAACUUCGUG
This 484-nucleotide ribosomal RNA is filed under the name uncultured bacterium. Its description in RNAcentral is "partial 16S ribosomal RNA". It matches the Rfam family "Bacterial small subunit ribosomal RNA", at positions 30 to 507 of the family's 1533-position model. The record is from RNAcentral.